AAGUCGUAACAAGGUCUCCGUAGGUGAACCUGCGGAGGGAUCAUUAACACGUUUUAAAACACGUUUUAACUAUACCAACCAACCACGUGAACUAUUUAACACUCCUGGAAGAGAAAGAAUUCUGUCUCCUCUCACUAAUGAUGAGUCCGCAAGGACGGUGAGUUUAGACUAACAUUGCAGUUCAGAGCUGACUUGUACAGACCUUUCACUUCUGGGCUUAGCUCCUCUCAUCACUGGAGCGAAAAACACCCCUUUCACCAUUUCUAUAACCAUUGACUGAUCUUUUUCUUUGCAACAUAAGAAAAAACUAUAAUCAAAUAUCUAAGCACAACUCUUAGCAACGGAUAUCUUGGUUCUC
RNAcentral lists this unclassified non-coding RNA (358 nucleotides) under fungal sp. RNAcentral describes it as "partial internal transcribed spacer region". The stretch from base 1 to 46 matches the Rfam family "Eukaryotic small subunit ribosomal RNA", at positions 1786 to 1831 of the family's 1831-position model. Lineage: Eukaryota; Fungi. The record is from RNAcentral.